This 62-nucleotide transfer RNA is filed under the name Firmicutes bacterium CAG:884. RNAcentral's name for it is "transfer RNA-Asp(GTC)". It matches the Rfam family "tRNA", at positions 1 to 60 of the family's 71-position model. From Rfam's summary of the family: Transfer RNA (tRNA) molecules are approximately 80 nucleotides in length. Their secondary structure includes four short double-helical elements and three loops (D, anti-codon, and T loops). Lineage: Bacteria; Bacillati; Bacillota. The record is from RNAcentral.
GGUCUCGUGGUGUAGUGGUUAUCACGUCUGCCUGUCACGCAGAAGAUCGCGAGUUCGAACCU